Molecule: transfer RNA, 72 nt
Filed under: bacterium ADurb.Bin425
Lineage: Bacteria
Also listed under: 3 other names
Description: tRNA-Met
Rfam family: tRNA
About the family: Transfer RNA (tRNA) molecules are approximately 80 nucleotides in length. Their secondary structure includes four short double-helical elements and three loops (D, anti-codon, and T loops). Further hydrogen bonds mediate the characteristic L-shaped molecular structure. tRNAs have two regions of fundamental functional importance: the anti-codon, which is responsible for specific mRNA codon recognition, and the 3' end, to which the tRNAs corresponding amino acid is attached (by aminoacyl-tRNA synthetases). tRNAs cope with the degeneracy of the genetic code in two manners: having more than one tRNA (with a specific anti-codon) for a particular amino acid; and 'wobble' base-pairing, i.e. permitting non-standard base-pairing at the 3rd anti-codon position.
Source: RNAcentral
GGCUCCGUAGCUCAACGGUGGAGCGUGCGACUCAUAAUCGCCUGGUUACUGGUUCGAAUCCAGUCGGAGCCA